UGGGGAAUAUUGGGCAAUGGGCGCAAGCCUGACCCAGCAAUGCCGCGUGGGUGAAGAAGGUCUUCGGAUUGUAAAGCCCUUUCGGCGGGGACGAUGAUGACGGUACCCGCAGAAGAAGCCCCGGCCAACUUCGUGCCAGCAGCCGCGGUAAUACGAAGGGGGCUAGCGUUGCUCGGAAUCACUGGGCGUAAAGGGCGCGUAGGCGGCCCUGUUGGUCGGGCGUGAAAUCCCCGGGCUCAACCCGGGGGCUGCGCCCGAAACGGCAAGGCUUGAGGCAAGGAGAGGCUCGCGGAAUUCCCAGUGUAGAGGUGAAAUUCGUAGAUAUUGGGAAGAACACCGGUGGCGAAGGCGGCGAGCUGGCCUUGAACUGACGCUGAGGCGCGACAGCGUGGGGAGCAAACAGG
This 404-nucleotide ribosomal RNA is filed under the name uncultured bacterium. RNAcentral's name for it is "bacterial SSU rRNA". It matches the Rfam family "Bacterial small subunit ribosomal RNA", at positions 355 to 776 of the family's 1533-position model. The record is from RNAcentral.